GGGGACUUGGCUUAGUGGCAUAAGCACCUGCCUUGCAAGCAGGCGGUCGUGAAUUCGAUCCCUG
Molecule: non-coding RNA, 64 nt
Organism: Cavia porcellus (domestic guinea pig)
Lineage: Eukaryota; Metazoa; Chordata; Mammalia; Rodentia; Caviidae
Source: Rfam